GGGCCCGUAGCUCAGCUUGGUAGAGCAGGUGGCUCUUAACCACAAGGUCGUGGGUUCAAAUCCCUCCGGGCCCA
Molecule: transfer RNA, 74 nt
Filed under: Pseudomonadota bacterium
Lineage: Bacteria; Pseudomonadati; Pseudomonadota
Also listed under: 2 other names
Description: tRNA-Lys
Rfam family: tRNA
About the family: Transfer RNA (tRNA) molecules are approximately 80 nucleotides in length. Their secondary structure includes four short double-helical elements and three loops (D, anti-codon, and T loops). Further hydrogen bonds mediate the characteristic L-shaped molecular structure. tRNAs have two regions of fundamental functional importance: the anti-codon, which is responsible for specific mRNA codon recognition, and the 3' end, to which the tRNAs corresponding amino acid is attached (by aminoacyl-tRNA synthetases). tRNAs cope with the degeneracy of the genetic code in two manners: having more than one tRNA (with a specific anti-codon) for a particular amino acid; and 'wobble' base-pairing, i.e. permitting non-standard base-pairing at the 3rd anti-codon position.
Source: RNAcentral